Molecule: ribosomal RNA, 497 nt
Filed under: uncultured bacterium
Lineage: Bacteria
Description: partial 16S ribosomal RNA
Rfam family: Bacterial small subunit ribosomal RNA
Source: RNAcentral
GAUGAACGCUGGCGGCGUGCCUAAUACAUGCAAGUCGAGCGAACAGAUAAGGAGCUUGCUCCUUUGACGUUAGCGGCGGACGGGUGAGUAACACGUGGGUAACCUACCUAUAAGACUGGAAUAACUCCGGGAAACCGGGGCUAAUGCCGGAUAACAUUUAGAACCGCAUGGUUCUAAAGUGAAAGAUGGUUUUGCUAUCACUUAUAGAUGGACCCGCGCCGUAUUAGCUAGUUGGUAAGGUAACGGCUUACCAAGGCAACGAUACGUAGCCGACCUGAGAGGGUGAUCGGCCACACUGGAACUGAGACACGGUCCAGACUCCUACGGGUGGCAGCAGUAGGGAAUCUUCCGCAAUGGGCGAAAGCCUGACGGAGCAACGCCGCGUGAGUGAUGAAGGUCUUCGGAUCGUAAAACUCUGUUAUUAGGGAAGAACAAAUGUGUAAGUAACUGUGCACGUCUUGACGGUACCUAAUCAGAAAGCCACGGCUAACUACGUG